RNAcentral lists this ribosomal RNA (978 nucleotides) under Anisakis pegreffii. Its description in RNAcentral is "eukaryotic LSU rRNA". The stretch from base 445 to 598 matches the Rfam family "5.8S ribosomal RNA". Lineage: Eukaryota; Metazoa; Nematoda; Chromadorea; Rhabditida; Anisakidae. The record is from RNAcentral.
UGGCAAAAGUUCGUAACAAGGUUCCGUAGGUGAACCUGCGGAAGGAUCAUUAUCGAGCGAAUCCAAAACGAACGAAAAAGUCUCCCAACGUGCAUACCUUCCAUUUGCAUGUUGUUGUGAGCCACAUGGAAACUCGUACACACGUGGUGGCAGCCGUCUGCUGUGCUUUUUUUAGGCAGACAAUGGCUUACGAGUGGCCGUGUGCUUGUUGAACAACGGUGACCAAUUUGGCGUCUACGCCGUAUCUAGCUUCUGCCUGGACCGUCAGUUGCGAUGAAAGAUGCGGAGAAAGUUCCUUUGUUUUGGCUGCUAAUCAUCAUUGAUGAGCAGCAGCUUAAGGCAGAGUCGAGCAGACUUAAUGAGCCACGCUAGGUGGCCGCCAAAACCCAAAACACAACCGGUCUAUUUGACAUUGUUAUUUCAUUGUAUGUGUUGAAAAUGUACAAAUCUUGGCGGUGGAUCACUCGGUUCGUGGAUCGAUGAAGAACGCAGCCAGCUGCGAUAAAUAGUGCGAAUUGCAGACACAUUGAGCACUAAGAAUUCGAACGCACAUUGCGCUAUCGGGUUCAUUCCCGAUGGCACGUCUGGCUGAGGGUCGAAUUACGGUGAACUGUCUUCACGGUUUUUCUGGACUGUGAAGCAUUCGGCAAGCAAUUGCUGUUGUGUUGUUGGUGAUUCUAUCAUGGACAAUAUGACGAGCGGUUCCUUGCUUAGUGAUGACAAAAGAAGACGUCAACACCGAAUCUACUAUACUACUAAUACUAGUAUAUAGGUGAGGUGCUUUUGGUGGUCACAAAAGUGACAAGUAUGCCAUUUCAUAGGGGCAACAACCAGCAUACGUGAUAAGUUGGCUGGUUGAUGAAACGGCAACGGAAUGACGGACGUCUAUGUGAUCAAAAUGAUACUAUUUGACCUCAGCUCAGUCGUGAUUACCCGCUGAAUUUAAGCAUAUAAUUAAGCGGAGGAAAAAAAACUAAA